RNAcentral lists this ribosomal RNA (496 nucleotides) under uncultured bacterium. RNAcentral's name for it is "partial 16S ribosomal RNA". It matches the Rfam family "Bacterial small subunit ribosomal RNA", at positions 29 to 507 of the family's 1533-position model. The record is from RNAcentral.
AUGAACGCUGGCGGCGUGCCUAAUCCCUGCAAGUCGCGCGAACAGACGAGGAGCUUGCUCCUCUGACGUUAGCGGCGGACGGGUGAGUAACACGUGGAUAACCUACCUAUAAGACUGGGAUAACUUCGGGAAACCGGAGCUAAUACCGGAUAACAUGUUGAACCGCAUGGUUCAACAGUGAAAGACGGUCUUGCUGUCACUUAUAGAUGGAUCCACGCCGCAUUAGCUAGUUGGUAAGGUAACGGCUUACCAAGGCAACGAUGCGUAGCCGACCUGAGAGGGUGAUCGGCCACACUGGAACUGAGACACGGUCCAGACUCCUACGGGAGGCAGCAGUAGGGAAUCUUCCGCAAUGGGCGAAAGCCUGACGGAGCAACGCCGCGUGAGUGAAGAAGGUCUUCGGAUCGUAAAACUCUGUUAUUAGGGAAGAACAAAUGUGUAAGUAACUAUGCACGUCCUGACGGUACCUAAUCAGAAAGCCACGGCUAACUACGUG